AUUUCAUUUAUAUUAAAACCCCAGGAGACCUUUGCCAUGUCCAGGCCACGUGUGUCCGUCACGCCACCGAGUCGUUUCCAGGAUCCUUUUGAGUGACACGAAAGAGAGACUGUUCGAGGACAUUACACGUUAGUUACAUGACAUAGUAGUUUGGAAAAGUUGGAGUUGCCGAGUUCGAUGGACUUUCUUCUUGCUGAAAUCGAGAGGAAAAAGAAACAGAUCGAUCAAAAUGAAGUUACGUCGAAUAAAAAAUACUUCAGACGAGGUGACCUAGCAGCGAAACAAGCUGAGGAGUAUAAAAAGAAGCAAGAGG
Long non-coding RNA from Orbicella faveolata, 313 nucleotides. Lineage: Eukaryota; Metazoa; Cnidaria; Anthozoa; Scleractinia; Merulinidae. The record is from RefSeq and is a predicted model, not a curated record.